UCUCCGUAGGUGAACCUGCGGAGGGAUCAUUACUGAGUGAGGGCCCUCGUGGUCCGACCUCCAACCCAUUGUUGUCCGACUCUGUUGCCUCGGGGGCGACCCGGCCCUCUGGGCGUCGGGGCCCCCGGUGGCUCACACCUCAACUCUUGCAUCUGUGCGUCUGAGUAACAUAUUGAAUCAAUCAAAACUUUCAACAACGGAUCUCUUGGUUCUGGCAUCGAUGAAGAACGCAGC
Molecule: unclassified non-coding RNA, 234 nt
Filed under: uncultured fungus
Lineage: Eukaryota; Fungi
Description: sequence contains ITS1, 5.8S rRNA gene
Rfam family: 5.8S ribosomal RNA (bases 186-234)
Source: RNAcentral